This 28-nucleotide non-coding RNA is filed under the name Mus musculus (house mouse). The record is from RNAcentral. Lineage: Eukaryota; Metazoa; Chordata; Mammalia; Rodentia; Muridae.
UCUGUCAUUCAGGUUCUGGUCGAGAAGU